UUCAGUGAAUCACCGUGCCCUCUGGAUUAUACUUUCUAAGAUGGAUGUCCUGAUAAAUACAUCAAAUGUCCUAAAAUUGCUUUAUGAUAACAUGAAAGCGACUGUUCUGAGCAGCACUGGCUCCCAGAGCGAACCUUUCAAAGAACAAACAGGAGUCAAACAGGGCUGUAUCAUCGCUCCAACCACGUUUGCGGUUUUUAUUGCCGUCACUCUUUACCUAAUUGCUGGGCAGAUGACAGCUGGCGUUGAAAUCAUUUACCGAAUGGACGGAAAGCUGUUCAGGCUUAGCAGGCUGAAAGCCAAGAGAGAGAUCUCCACAACAUCUAUGGUGGAACUUCAGUCUGCUGAUGACAACACAAUCUUCGCCCACUCUGAGAAAGAUCUUCAAACUAACUUGAAUGUGUCUGCCGAUGCUUACGCAUGUCUUGGUUUCACUCUUAACAUCAAGAAGACUAAAGUGCUCUAUCAGCCCUCUCCAAAUGAGGUAUUACAUGCCCCAUCUAUCAAAAUCAAUGGAGUGGCACUGGAGAAUGUCAAUCAUUUCCUCUCCCGUGGAAGUCAUCUUUCAUCCAAGGCAGAUAUUGAUGCAGAAAUUCAACAUCGCCUGAGCUGUGACAGUGUAGCUUUUUUUCAUUUACAGCACAGGUUUUUUUGAAGAUCAUGACAUUCAAACAGACACCAAGCUUCUUGUUUAUUAAGCCAUUAUUCUCCCAAAACUGUUGUAUGGGUCCGAAACUUGGACAACCUAUAGACACCACUUGAAAGUUCUUGAGAGGCACCACCAACGCUGCCUUCGUAAGAUUCUGAAGAUCAAAUGGGAAGACAGGCGCACCAAUAUUAGUGUUCUGGAAGAGGCACAGACCACCAGUAUCGAGGCAAUGAUAAUCAGUCAGCAAGUCCGCUGGACUACUCACGUUGUCCGGAUGCCAGACCAUCGCCUCUCAAAACAGGUCCUGUUCUCUCAGCUGAAAGAAGGGUACCGUAACGUGGGUGGACAACGGAAGUGUUAUAAGGACUUGCUGAAGACAACCUAAAACACUGACACUUGGGAGAUACUUGCCCAGGAUCACUUAAAAUGGAGUGAAGUCCUACGUGAUGGUCCCCUGCAGUUUGGACUUGCUCGCCGACAACCCGAAGAGGAUAAGAGGAGGAAGGGGAGACUGGUCUCCAGUCAUGGUCAACAGCCUCUUGCUGAGCCUGAAAACAUCUGCCCUCAUUGUAAUAGCACUUGUGGUUCAAGGAUUGGCCACCUGAGGACCCAUAGUUCCCAUGGAAGAUGAUCAUACUGGGUAACGAGUGAUUGCCCCAUCAUCAGAAAUCUUAAACUGUCUGCCAGUAUCACUCAUGUGGCGUAAGUGCCUACGCUGCGCAGUUAUGUGACAAUAUGGAUAACUGGGGCAGGGCGGAUGGUCCCUUUGACAAGUGGCUUGAUUUGAUGGCACACGAGCAGUUCUUGCGGGUAGUCACUGAUGAGGUAAAAGCGGCGCCGCCUGUGACAAAAAACCUCCCACCGUUUUGGAGGCAGCAGAAAUUGCUGAUGAAUAAGUUGAGUCAAGGACUCAGGAGAGGCGCAACCCCCAGGAGAAGGGUUUCCCCAGGUCAAAAUGAGGGGUCUAGGAGAAACCUAACUCCAACUUUGUUAAAAAACCUCCAGGGAGCCCAGAUUUUAAAGCCGCUUACACUAAGGGAAGGCAGGCUCGGCCAUCUCUGUGGGGCUCUUGGUCAUAGAAAACCAAAUUGCCCAGAACUUAAGGUCAUCCCACAAUCUGCACUCUCAGCCCCCGCUGUACAUGCCACAGCUCCCACUGUGAGCGCUAAUGCUGCCCCCUGGAUCCCAGAGGAAGUUGUGGUGGAAGAGAACGGCCUCAUAACCUGUAUUGGGACUGAGUCUGGGGACGGUAGUGAGGAGUUUAUUAAGAGUGAAUGGCAUUGAGUGUGCCGGGCGGAGGGACACGGCCUCCCAAGUUACUUUGGUUAAGGACAGUUUUGUGAGGGAGGAGGACAGACAGCCAGGCAAAAGUCUGAAUAUUUUGGCUUAGGCUGCAUUUCCUGUGACUGUGCCUCUGGUUAAAGUCCACCAUGAGGGGGAAGGUUUUCAGGGUGACGUUGUGGCCGGCAUUAGGAAUUUGCUGCCAGCUGAUAUUUGAAUAGAUGUGAACCCCAAGAACCUACUGGUUUUGCUCCCCUGCUUCUGUAUGGGAGGCAGGUGAGGGGACUCCUAGAUUUGAUUCGAAGCUCUUGGGAACACAGUACAGAGGAAACAGGACAGCCGGUGAAGGAGAAUUUGCAGGUGGCUGGAACCUUAAGAAAAGUCAGGCGAGUCAGAAAGCUUGGUAGGAUCGGCCUGCUGAGGAAAGGUCACUUGAUAGCGGUGAUCUGGUGUGAAUGCUGAUGCCGGUGAGGAAAACCAAAAGGCGGGAUUACUGGGAAGUACUUUUUGAGCCAAAGUGUGUGCUCGCACUGAGAUGUGAAUGUACUCGACGGGUGAACUUCAUGAAAACAAAGGAGGGCUCGUUGUGGGCUAUUCCAUUGCCACGUACACAGCGUCUAGCCCGGUAAUGACGUUUACCCACCAAACGCGACUGGAGCCUUGGAAAUGUAAACGAAGAAGGUUGCUAACUUUAAAGCAAGGGCCAUUGAGUACUCGGUGGGAAUUCACAGACACAGUUUGCAUCCCUCACGCACCGCCAGCCAAGGAAGGCCCACGCUGGUACAGAACCCGCCAGUGAGCUUUCUGGGUGAAGAAGACAUAAAAGAUGGAUUGGAGAUGAAGGAUCUUUCCUUGAAACUGUUUGGCCACUCACAGGGAAGCCUUCCACAUGGAAGACACAGAUCCCCAAAGUUACUCUGCGUAUCCCUGAGAGACUCAUGGAAAACUCCCAGAUCACCACCUCUCUGCUACCGCUUUGGACUUACAAACCUGGGCUCACCUGUUACUGUAUUUUACCUGCUUUAACCUCUCAGUAGCUCAUUCCCUUUGCUGAGCUAAUAAACCCUUAGAGAAAUCA
Long non-coding RNA from Malaclemys terrapin pileata, 3008 nucleotides. RefSeq lists it as uncharacterized. The record is from RefSeq and is a predicted model, not a curated record. The transcript is spliced from 3 exons. Lineage: Eukaryota; Metazoa; Chordata; Testudines; Emydidae.